UAGAGUUUGAUCCUGGCUCAGGAUGAACGCUAGCUACAGGCUUAACACAUGCAAGUCGAGGGGAAACGGCAUUGAGUGCUUGCACUCUUUGGACGUCGACCGGCGCACGGGUGAGUAACGCGUAUCCAACCUUCCCAUUACUGUGGGAUAACCUGCCGAAAGGCAGACUAAUACCGCAUAGUCUUCGAUGACGGCAUCAGAUUUGAAGUAAAGAUUUAUCGGUAAUGGAUGGGGAUGCGUCUGAUUAGCUUGUUGGCGGGGUAACGGCCCACCAAGGCGACGAUCAGUAGGGGUUCUGAGAGGAAGGUCCCCCACAUUGGAACUGAGACACGGUCCAAACUCCUACGGGAGGCAGCAGUGAGGAAUAUUGGUCAAUGGACGGAAGUCUGAACCAGCCAAGUAGCGUGCAGGAUGACGGCCCUAUGGGUUGUAAACUGCUUUUGUAUGGGGAUAAAGUUAGGGACGUGUCCCUAUUUGCAGGUACCAUACGAAUAAGGACCGGCUAAUUCCGUGCCAGCAGCCGCGGUAAUACGGAAGGUCCAGGCGUUAUCCGGAUUUAUUGGGUUUAAAGGGAGCGUAGGCUGGAGAUUAAGUGUGUUGUGAAAUGUAGACGCUCAACGUCUGACUUGCAGCGCAUACUGGUUUCCUUGAGUACGCACAACGUUGGCGGAAUUCGUCGUGUAGCGGUGAAAUGCUUAGAUAUGACGAAGAACUCCGAUUGCGAAGGCAGCUGACGGGAGCGCAACUGACGCUUAAGCUCGAAGGUGCGGGUAUCAAACAGGAUUAGAUACCCUGGUAGUCCGCACAGUAAACG
RNAcentral lists this ribosomal RNA (814 nucleotides) under uncultured bacterium. RNAcentral describes it as "bacterial SSU rRNA". It matches the Rfam family "Bacterial small subunit ribosomal RNA", at positions 1 to 808 of the family's 1533-position model. The record is from RNAcentral.